This 288-nucleotide ribosomal RNA is filed under the name uncultured bacterium. RNAcentral's name for it is "partial 16S ribosomal RNA". It matches the Rfam family "Bacterial small subunit ribosomal RNA", at positions 355 to 636 of the family's 1533-position model. The record is from RNAcentral.
UAGGGAAUCUUCCACAAUGGACGCAAGUCUGAUGGAGCAACGCCGCGUGAGUGAAGAAGGCUUUCGGGUCGUAAAACUCUGUUAUUGAAGAAGAACGUGUGUGACAGUAACUGGUCAUGCAGUGACGGUAUUCAAUCAGAAAGUCACGGCUAACUACGUGCCAGCAGCCGCGGUAAUACGUAGGUGGCAAGCGUUGUCCGGAUUUAUUGGGCGUAAAGCGAGUGCAGGCGGUCUUUUAAGUCUGAUGUGAAAGCCUUCGCUUAACCGAAGAAGGGCAUCGGAAACUGG